CCAUGUAUCCUGUAUCCACAAAGAAAUCUUCUACUUCCUGAAAGCACUAAGAUAAGGAUAAUUAGGAUGGAAAAAGAAUGGUGGCCUCAGGACUCUAGGAAAAAAGAAUCAGUAACCAAGAAAAAAAUUACAGCAUGUAUUUUUGAAGUCUCCACACCAAGGCCUAGCUCUGCGAUGUGUUGCACACAGGACUUCUCCACUGACAGCCUAAGCUGAACCUUCUCACCUUUACAGUUCCUGCUCCUCUUGGAUUUCUAGUCUUGGUGAUAGCAUCACUUCUCACCCAGCGCCCAAUUUAAAUAUGGAGUCAUUCUGGACUCUCUCCUCUUUCCACACCCCCACCCACUUCUGACUAGUCCCCAGUCUCAUUCCUCUUAUGGUCUUCACCAUCACCUGCCUUAAUUCAGGCUUUGUUUUCUUGAGAAUAAGUCAAAGUAAUUACCUCUGUGGACACUUAGUUGACUGCUUGUCUAUAGAUGUUAGAUUCUUCUGGAUAUUUUACUAUAAAAAGCCAAAGAGCUGCAAAUGUCUACAUGUUAUUUGAUUGACUUUUCCUCCCUGGUGGUUUUACUGCUUCCUCUUAUUUAUGCUUUUAUCUACAUCCUGUACCUCAGCAAAAUGAACAGUUCACAGCUUGAAGACUUAUCUUGUAGAACUCUGCAUGGUGAGGAAGAAGCUGCAAGGAAGAAGAUAGUAGUAUGGACAGCAGUUGCCUGGCCCCAGCCAGAUGAUUAAGCAGCUGAUAUGGACUCUGAAAUAAAACAAUUAUUGGUUCUUAUCUCUGCUUUGAAGA
Long non-coding RNA from Suricata suricatta (meerkat), 793 nucleotides. RefSeq lists it as uncharacterized. The transcript is spliced from 3 exons. NCBI's taxonomy places the organism in Eukaryota, Metazoa, Chordata, Mammalia, Carnivora, Herpestidae. The record is from RefSeq and is a predicted model, not a curated record.